Molecule: microRNA precursor, 62 nt
Filed under: Mus pahari (shrew mouse)
Lineage: Eukaryota; Metazoa; Chordata; Mammalia; Rodentia; Muridae
Description: microRNA 6969 (MGP_PahariEiJ_G0007240.1)
Source: RNAcentral
GUUCCCAGCAGAGUAGGGAAGCAAAAGAUAACCAAGUGACUCUGUUGUUCCCAUCUCUGCAG